AUAUAUAUAUAUAUAAUUAUAUAUAUAUAUAUUACUAUUAUUAAAAUAUUAAUAUAGA
RNAcentral lists this transfer RNA (58 nucleotides) under Parascaris univalens. Its description in RNAcentral is "tRNA-Ser". Lineage: Eukaryota; Metazoa; Nematoda; Chromadorea; Rhabditida; Ascarididae. The record is from RNAcentral.